CAAGAAUCUUAUUUGAAGACAGAAAGCUAAUCUUAAUUAAUGAAUAGUUAAUGGACAAGAAUCCUAAAUAAGGAACACAAAAUUAAAAUCUAGUAAAUGGAAAACUAAGUGAAAUCCAAAAUUGAAUAAUAUUUAAAAUGCUCCUGCAUUAAUCUCCCCUAGUUAAAGAACAACUUGGCUCCAACGAGUAAGGUUGGAGAUAUUCUGCAUAGAUGUCUAGAUUAACUCAUUUUAG
RNAcentral lists this unclassified non-coding RNA (235 nucleotides) under Hevea brasiliensis (rubber tree). The record is from RNAcentral. Lineage: Eukaryota; Viridiplantae; Streptophyta; Magnoliopsida; Malpighiales; Euphorbiaceae.